UCUAUCCUGCUCCUGACAGAAUGUUAAAUAGCCGCGGUAUUUUGACCGUGCAAAGGUAGCAUAAUCAUUAGUUUUUUAAUUGAAAACUUGUAUGAAUGGUUGGACAAAAAAAAAACUGUCUCUUCUAUUAAAAUUGAAAUUAACUUCCAAGUGAAAAGGCUUAGAUUUUCUAGAGGGACGAUAAGACCCUAUAAAGCUUUAUUGAUUGCCCGGAUUAAACCAACUUUUUAAAAUAAAAUUAAAUUUGGAAAAUUUAUUUGGUUGGGGCGACUAAAA
Molecule: ribosomal RNA, 276 nt
Filed under: Scylla olivacea (orange mud crab)
Lineage: Eukaryota; Metazoa; Arthropoda; Malacostraca; Decapoda; Portunidae
Description: partial 16S ribosomal RNA
Rfam family: Archaeal large subunit ribosomal RNA
Source: RNAcentral